UGCAAGUCGAACGCGUUGGCCCAAUUGAUUGAUGGUGCUUGCACCUGAUUGAUUUUGGUCGCCAACGAGUGGCGGACGGGUGAGUAACACGUAGGUAACCUGCCCAGAAGCGGGGGACAACAUUUGGAAACAGAUGCUAAUACCGCAUAACAGCGUUGUUCGCAUGAACAACGCUUAAAAGAUGGCUUCUCGCUAUCACUUCUGGAUGGACCUGCGGUGCAUUAGCUUGUUGGUGGGGUAACGGCCUACCAAGGCGAUGAUGCAUAGCCGAGUUGAGAGACUGAUCGGCCACAAUGGGACUGAGACACGGCCCAUACUCCUACGGGAGGCAGCAGUAGGGAAUCUUCCACAAUGGGCGCAAGCCUGAUGGAGCAACACCGCGUGAGUGAAGAAGGGUUUCGGCUCGUAAAGCUCUGUUGUUAAAGAAGAACACGUAUGAGAGUAACUGUUCAUACGUUGACGGUAUUUAACCAGAAAGUCACGGCUAACUACGUGCCAGCAGCCGCGGUAAUACGUAGGUGGCAAGCGUUAUCCGGAUUUAUUGGGCGUAAAGAGAGUGCAGGCGGUUUUCUAAGUCUGAUGUGAAAGCCUUCGGCUUAACCGGAGAAGUGCAUCGGAAACUGGAUAACUUGAGUGCAGAAGAGGGUAGUGGAACUCCAUGUGUAGCGGUGGAAUGCGUAGAUAUAUGGAAGAACACCAGUGGCGAAGGCGGCUACCUGGUCUGCAACUGACGCUGAGACUCGAAAGCAUGGGUAGCGAACAGGAUUAGAUACCCUGGUAGUCCAUGCCGUAAACGAUGAGUGCUAGGUGUUGGAGGGUUUCCGCCCUUCAGUGCCGGAGCUAACGCAUUAAGCACUCCGCCUGGGGAGUACGACCGCAAGGUUGAAACUCAAAGGAAUUGACGGGGGCCCGCACAAGCGGUGGAGCAUGUGGUUUAAUUCGAAGCUACGCGAAGAACCUUACCAGGUCUUGACAUCUUGCGCCAACCCUAGAGAUAGGGCGUUUCCUUCGGGAACGCAAUGACAGGUGGUGCAUGGUCGUCGUCAGCUCGUGUCGUGAGAUGUUGGGUUAAGUCCCGCAACGAGCGCAACCCUUGUUACUAGUUGCCAGCAUUAAGUUGGGCACUCUAGUGAGACUGCCGGUGACAAACCGGAGGAAGGUGGGGACGACGUCAGAUCAUCAUGCCCCUUAUGACCUGGGCUACACACGUGCUACAAUGGACGGUACAACGAGUCGCGAACUCGCGAGGGCAAGCAAAUCUCUUAAAACCGUUCUCAGUUCGGACUGCAGGCUGCAACUCGCCUGCACGAAGUCGGAAUCGCUAGUAAUCGCGGAUCAGCAUGCCGCGGUGAAUACGUUCCCGGGCCUUGUACACACCGCCCGUCACACCAUGAGAGUUUGUAACACCCAAAGUCGGUGGGGUAACCUUUUAGGAGCCAGCCGCCU
RNAcentral lists this ribosomal RNA (1446 nucleotides) under Limosilactobacillus fermentum. RNAcentral's name for it is "bacterial SSU rRNA". It matches the Rfam family "Bacterial small subunit ribosomal RNA". Lineage: Bacteria; Bacillati; Bacillota; Bacilli; Lactobacillales; Lactobacillaceae. The record is from RNAcentral.